This 263-nucleotide ribosomal RNA is filed under the name Escherichia coli. RNAcentral describes it as "partial 16S ribosomal RNA". It matches the Rfam family "Bacterial small subunit ribosomal RNA", at positions 1 to 260 of the family's 1533-position model. The record is from RNAcentral. Lineage: Bacteria; Pseudomonadati; Pseudomonadota; Gammaproteobacteria; Enterobacterales; Enterobacteriaceae.
AAAUUGAAGAGUUUGAUCAUGGCUCAGAUUGAACGCUGGCGGCAGGCCUAACACAUGCAAGUCGAACGGUAACAGGAAUCAGCUUGCUGAUUCGCUGACGAGUGGCGGACGGGUGAGUAAUGUCUGGGAAACUGCCUGAUGGAGGGGGAUAACUACUGGAAACGGUAGCUAAUACCGCAUAACGUCGCAAGACCAAAGAGGGGGACCUUCGGGCCUCUUGCCAUCAGAUGUGCCCAGAUGGGAUUAGCUAGUAGGUGGGGUAA